RNAcentral lists this ribosomal RNA (253 nucleotides) under uncultured bacterium. Its description in RNAcentral is "partial 16S ribosomal RNA". It matches the Rfam family "Bacterial small subunit ribosomal RNA", at positions 524 to 776 of the family's 1533-position model. The record is from RNAcentral.
UACGGAGGAUCCAAGCGUUAUCCGGAAUCAUUGGGUUUAAAGGGUCCGUAGGCGGCCUUAUAAGUCAGCGGUGAAAGUUUUUGGCUUAACCAAAAAAUUGCCGUUGAUACUGUAGGGCUUGAAUUUUUGUGAAGUAACUAGAAUAUGUAGUGUAGCGGUGAAAUGCUUAGAUAUUACAUGGAAUACCAAUUGCGAAGGCAGGUUACUAACAAACGAUUGACGCUGAUGGACGAAAGCGUGGGUAGCGAACAGG